GAGUCAGUAGCUCAGCUGGUAGAGCAACGCCCUUUUAAGGCGUGGGUCGCGGGUUCAAAUCCCUCCUGACUCA
Molecule: transfer RNA, 73 nt
Filed under: Chitinispirillales bacterium
Lineage: Bacteria; Pseudomonadati; Fibrobacterota; Chitinispirillia; Chitinispirillales
Description: tRNA-Lys
Rfam family: tRNA
About the family: Transfer RNA (tRNA) molecules are approximately 80 nucleotides in length.
Source: RNAcentral